UGGCGACGGGUGAGUAACACGUGAGCAACCUGCCUUUCAGAGGGGGAUAACGUUUGGAAACGAACGCUAAUACCGCAUAAAAUAUCGGAGUCGCAUGGCACUGAUAUCAAAGGAGCAAUCCGCUGAAAGAUGGGCUCGCGUCCGAUUAGGCAGUUGGCGGGGUAACGGCCCACCAAACCGACAAUCGGUAGCCGGACUGAGAGGUUGAACGGCCACAUUGGGACUGAGACACGGCCCAGACUCCUACGGAAGGCAGCAG
RNAcentral lists this ribosomal RNA (259 nucleotides) under uncultured bacterium. RNAcentral's name for it is "partial 16S ribosomal RNA". It matches the Rfam family "Bacterial small subunit ribosomal RNA", at positions 96 to 354 of the family's 1533-position model. The record is from RNAcentral.